Molecule: ribosomal RNA, 849 nt
Filed under: Staphylococcus hominis
Lineage: Bacteria; Bacillati; Bacillota; Bacilli; Caryophanales; Staphylococcaceae
Description: bacterial SSU rRNA
Rfam family: Bacterial small subunit ribosomal RNA
Source: RNAcentral
CCAAACUGCAGUCGAGCGACAGACGAGGAGCUUGCUCCUUUGACGUUAGCGGCGGACGGGUGAGUAACACGUGGGUAACCUACCUAUAAGACUGGGAUAACUUCGGGAAACCGGAGCUAAUACCGGAUAAUAUUUCGAACCGCAUGGUUCGAUAGUGAAAGAUGGCUUUGCUAUCACUUAUAGAUGGACCUGCGCCGUAUUAGCUAGUUGGUAAGGUAACGGCUUACCAAGGCAACGAUACGUAGCCGACCUGAGAGGGUGAUCGGCCACACUGGAACUGAGACACGGUCCAGACUCCUACGGGAGGCAGCAGUAGGGAAUCUUCCGCAAUGGGCGAAAGCCUGACGGAGCAACGCCGCGUGAGUGAUGAAGGUCUUCGGAUCGUAAAACUCUGUUAUUAGGGAAGAACAAACGUGUAAGUAACUGUGCACGUCUUGACGGUACCUAAUCAGAAAGCCACGGCUAACUACGUGCCAGCAGCCGCGGUAAUACGUAGGUGGCAAGCGUUAUCCGGAAUUAUUGGGCGUAAAGCGCGCGUAGGCGGUUUUUUAAGUCUGAUGUGAAAGCCCACGGCUCAACCGUGGAGGGUCAUUGGAAACUGGAAAACUUGAGUGCAGAAGAGGAAAGUGGAAUUCCAUGUGUAGCGGUGAAAUGCGCAGAGAUAUGGAGGAACACCAGUGGCGAAGGCGACUUUCUGGUCUGUAACUGACGCUGAUGUGCGAAAGCGUGGGGAUCAAACAGGAUUAGAUACCCUGGUAGUCCACGCCGUAAACGAUGAGUGCUAAGUGUUAGGGGGUUUCCGCCCCUUAGUGCUGCAGCUAACGCAUUAAGCACUCCGCCUGGGGAGUA